UGGGGAAUUUUGGACAAUGGGGGAAACCCUGAUCCAGCCAUCUCGCGUGUGCGAUGAAGGCCUUCGGGUUGUAAAGCACUUUUGGCAGGAAAGAAACGUCAUGGGUUAAAACCCCGUGAAACUGACGGUACCUGCAGAAUAAGCACCGGCUAACUACGUGCCAGCAGCCGCGGUAAUACGUAGGGUGCAAGCGUUAAUCGGAAUUACUGGGCGUAAAGCGUGCGCAGGCGGUUCGGAAAGAAAGAUGUGAAAUCCCAGAGCUCAACUUUGGAACUGCAUUUUUAACUACCGGGCUAGAGUGUGUCAGAGGGAGGUGGAAUUCCGCGUGUAGCAGUGAAAUGCGUAGAUAUGCGGAGGAACACCGAUGGCGAAGGCAGCCUCCUGGGAUAACACUGACGCUCAUGCACGAAAGCGUGGGGAGCAAACAGG
This 429-nucleotide ribosomal RNA is filed under the name Acidobacteriota bacterium. RNAcentral describes it as "Acidobacteria bacterium partial 16S ribosomal RNA". It matches the Rfam family "Bacterial small subunit ribosomal RNA", at positions 355 to 776 of the family's 1533-position model. Lineage: Bacteria; Pseudomonadati; Acidobacteriota. The record is from RNAcentral.